Molecule: ribosomal RNA, 912 nt
Filed under: uncultured Gammaproteobacteria bacterium
Lineage: Bacteria; Pseudomonadati; Pseudomonadota; Gammaproteobacteria
Description: bacterial SSU rRNA
Rfam family: Bacterial small subunit ribosomal RNA
Source: RNAcentral
AUUGAACGCUGGCGGUAGGCCUAACACAUGCAAGUCGAACGGUAACGGACCGCUGGGAUUCCUUCGGGAUGACCUUGGUGCCGACGAGUGGCGGACGGGUGAGUAACACGUAGGAAUCUGCCAAACAGUGGGGGACAACCCGGAGAAAUCCGGGCUAAUACCGCAUACGCCCUACGGGGGAAAGCGGGGGACCUUCGGGCCUCGCGCUGUUUGAGGAGCCUGCGUCGGAUUAGCUUGUUGGUGAGGUAAAGGCUCACCAAGGCGACGAUCCGUAGCUGGUCUGAGAGGAUGAUCAGCCACACUGGGACUGAGACACGGCCCAGACUCCUACGGGAGGCAGCAGUGGGGAAUAUUGCACAAUGGGCGAAAGCCUGAUGCAGCUAUACCGCGUGGGUGAAGAAGGCCUUAGGGUUGUAAAGCCCUUUCAGCAGGGAAGAAAGGUACGGAGUUAAUAGCUCCGUAAUUUGACGGUACCUGAAUAAGAAGCACCGGCUAACUCCGUGCCAGCAGCCGCGGUAAUACGGAGGGUGCAAGCGUUAAUCGGAAUUACUGGGCGUAAAGCGCGCGUAGGCGGUCUAGUCAGUCAGAUGUGAAAGCCCCGGGCUCAACCUGGGAAUUGCAUUUGAAACUGCUGGACUAGAGUGUGGUAGAGGGAAGUGGAAUUCCGAGUGUAGCGGUGAAAUGCGUAGAGAUUCGGAGGAACAUCAGUGGCGAAGGCGACUUCCUGGACCAACACUGACGCUGAGGUGCGAAAGCGGGGGGAGCAAACAGGAUUAGAUACCCUGGUAGUCCACGCCGUAAACGAUGUCUACUAGCCGUCGGGGAGCUUGACUCCUUGGUGGCGCAGCUAACGCGAUAAGUAGACCGCCUGGGGAGUACGGCCGCAAGGCUAAAACUCAAAGGAAUUGACGG